This 20-nucleotide microRNA is filed under the name Schistosoma mansoni. RNAcentral's name for it is "sma-miR-8438-3p". Lineage: Eukaryota; Metazoa; Platyhelminthes; Trematoda; Strigeidida; Schistosomatidae. The record is from miRBase by way of RNAcentral.
UUUAUGGAGCCUUUGGCAAG